AAUCCGUCGAGCUAAGCUGAGGUGUGAUGGGGAGCCAUUUAUGGCGAAGUAUCUGAUUCCACACUGCCAAGAAAGCCUCUAUCGAGUGAAUAGGUGCCCGUACCGCAAACCGACACAGGUAGGUGAGGAGAGAAUCCUAAGGCCAUCGGAAGAAUUGCUGUUAAGGAACUCGGCAAAUUGACCCCGUAACUUCGGGAGAAGGGGUGCCUACGAAGUAGGCCGCAGAGAAUAGGCCCAAGCAACUGUUUAGCAAAAACACAGGUCUCUGCUAAAGCGAAGCUGAUGUAUAGGGGCUGACGCCUGCCCGGUGCUGGAAGGUUAAGGGGAACACUUAGCGCAAGCGAAGGUGUGAACUUAAGCCCCAGUAAACGGCGGCCGUAACUAUAACGGUCCUAAGGUAGCGAAAUUCCUUGUCGGGUAAGUUCCGACCCGCACGAAUGGCGUAAUGAUUUGGGCACUGUCUCAACAGCAAAUCCGGCGAAAUUGUAGUGCAAGUGAAGAUGCUUGCUACCCGCGAUUGGACGGAAAGACCCCGUAGAGCUUUACUGUAGCUUAGCAUUGAAUCUCGGUAUUGUCUGUACAGGAUAGGUGGGAGACUUGGAAACUUG
This 608-nucleotide ribosomal RNA is filed under the name Clostridium botulinum. RNAcentral describes it as "partial 23S ribosomal RNA". It matches the Rfam family "Bacterial large subunit ribosomal RNA", at positions 1539 to 2166 of the family's 2925-position model. Lineage: Bacteria; Bacillati; Bacillota; Clostridia; Eubacteriales; Clostridiaceae. The record is from RNAcentral.